Molecule: long non-coding RNA, 1390 nt
Filed under: Panicum hallii
Lineage: Eukaryota; Viridiplantae; Streptophyta; Magnoliopsida; Poales; Poaceae
Description: long non-coding RNA (PHAL_LNC000072)
Source: RNAcentral
GGAGACCUCGAGGCUGCCAUGGCCGCCGGCGCCGCCGCCAUGGCGAAAAGUGCUUCUCGGGCGCUCUGGCCUCGCGAUGCUCUACAUCAACGUCUUACCUUCUCGCUCCUCCAUUGAUGUAGAUGGUUUCUCUCGCCCCCUACACCCCCCUCCCAAGUCCCAACCACAAACACUCUAGCUUUAGGGUUUGCUGCAGCGGUGGUGGCACAGCCUUGCACCGCGAGAGGAUGUACAAGAAGACGGCCGUGUUGCAGCGAAAUUGCAUCCAUUUCCUAUGGUUAGUACCGUGUACCGGCCAAUUUGCAAUUUACACUAUGUGUUCUGUUCUCUACAGAAAUCAUUUUAAGGGUCACAUAAUUUUGUCUGUACAGCUUCAAUUCCAUUUGUGUUGUGCAACAUGAUUGCGAAUUCCUAUGCUGCAGACUUCUAAGGAAACUUCUUCUUCAUAUUGCCAUUUCUCUCAAUCUGGUAGUGAACUCUCAUGCAACACAUUUCUAAUAACAUUUAAUUUGCUAUAAAAAAGUAAGAAAAGAACUCUCAUGCAAUUCAUCUUGAGAUAUCAUACUAUGCACGUAUAAAUAGGUUCCUCCAUAUAAUUCAUAGCAUUUGAAUGACGGAUCUCUAGAUUGAGAUACAGACAUUUUGUGUUUGUCUUGCUCAGUGAUCCCUGCCAGGCAGAGGGUCUUUGUGCUUUCACCUCUGCCACAUGUAUGUGUUUUCUUCUUAUUUAUAAAGCAGCAUUACCAGAUCGUUUUAAAUGAAAAAAGUUCAGAUAUAAACAUGAUCCUAACAUGGAGGGUGCAUGGGAUAUUUGCUAACUGAUUUUUAUGUUCUCAUCAGAAUGGGAAAGGAGAAGUACAAAGGCAUCUUAAUUAGCAAGUAUGUUACUAACAAUUAUAAUACCAACUUGUUGGAGCAAUGAAGCAUUAUUUUAUUUUUUAUUUGGAAGAUUGUACACUUUUACAAUGUUUUUCCUGACCAUGGUAUCUAACGCCGCAUUAAACUUGCACUUGUUCUUAUAAUGUCAUCGCCAUAGUUAAAAUGCAGACAUGGUAAGGAAAUAACAAAACGCUCAGUCUGAUGGUGCUGAAUACCAGUGUAAGAUCACAAGAAACUUUGAAAAAAAUGAGUUGCAUGUGGCACUGCCUGCGCCUGAAGCCAAGAACAUCAAAAUGAAGCAUCCAUCAAUGAAUGCCUACCAGCAAAAGGAAGAGAAGUGUGCUAUUAUGAUUAAUAGUGUAGAUAUAUGUUUUGUGUUGUUUGGAAAGAGAAGCUGUAAAAAUGUAGCUAAAUGAUACUCUGUUUUACUUGUGAUUCUUGUGAAUGUAUAUUUCUUUCCUUAAAAUUCUUAUGGACAAACUUCAACCAUAAUUAAAAAUCUGAUCAUGCU